UGAGUAACGCGUGGAUAAUCUUCCUUAAAGUGGGGAAUAACUAGUCGAAAGAUUAGCUAAUACCGCAUAAGACCACAGGCUCUUUGGAGCUAGGGGUUAAAGUCUUACGACGCUUUAAGAUGAGUCUGCGCCCGAUUAGCUAGUUGGUGAGGUAAAGGCUCACCAAGGCGACGAUCGGUAGCUGGUCUGAGAGGACGGCCAGCCACACUGGGACUGAGACACGGCCCAG
Molecule: ribosomal RNA, 229 nt
Filed under: uncultured bacterium
Lineage: Bacteria
Description: partial 16S ribosomal RNA
Rfam family: Bacterial small subunit ribosomal RNA
Source: RNAcentral